CUCCGAAAGGUGUGCUAAUACCGGAUACGCUGAGAAAUCAGGAAAGGUGGCCUCUUCAUGAAAGCUACUGUAUCAGGAGGAGCUUGCGUACCAUUAGCUAGUUGGUGGGGUAAUGGCCUACCAAGGCAACGAUGGUUAGCGGGUCUGAGAGGAUGAUCCGCCACACUGGAACUGGAACACGGACCAGACUCCUACGGGAGGCAGCAGUGAGGAAUAUUGCGCAAUGGGGGCAACCCUGACGCAGCGACGCCGCGUGGAUGAUGAAGGCCUUCGGGUCGUAAAAUCCUGUCAGAUGGAAAGAAAUGUCAUAUGCCUAAUAUGUGUAUGAUUUGACGGUACCAUCAAAGGAAGCACCGGCUAACUCCGUGCCAGCAGCCGCGGUAAUACGGAGGGUGCAAGCGUUGUUCGGAAUUACUGGGCGUAAAGCGCGCGUAGGCGGCUUUUUAAGUCAGAUGUGAAAGUCCACGGCUCAACCGUGGAAGUGCAUUUGAUACUGGGAAGCUUGAGUACUGGAGGGGAUGGUGGAAUUCCCGGUGUAGAGGUGAAAUUCGUAGAUAUCGGGAGGAAUACCGGUGGCGAAGGCGACCAUCUGGCCAGAUACUGACGCUGAGGUGCGAAAGCGUGGGG
This 627-nucleotide ribosomal RNA is filed under the name Desulfobulbaceae bacterium PR8_F06. RNAcentral's name for it is "bacterial SSU rRNA". It matches the Rfam family "Bacterial small subunit ribosomal RNA", at positions 149 to 766 of the family's 1533-position model. The record is from RNAcentral. Lineage: Bacteria; Pseudomonadati; Thermodesulfobacteriota; Desulfobulbia; Desulfobulbales; Desulfobulbaceae.